RNAcentral lists this ribosomal RNA (467 nucleotides) under uncultured bacterium. RNAcentral describes it as "partial 16S ribosomal RNA". It matches the Rfam family "Bacterial small subunit ribosomal RNA", at positions 28 to 507 of the family's 1533-position model. The record is from RNAcentral.
GAUGAACGCUGGCGGCGCGCCUAACACAUGCAAGUCGAACGAUUAAAGCACCUUCGGGUGUGUAUAAAGUGGCGAACGGCUGAGGAACACGUGGGCAACCUGCCCCUUUCAUUGGGAUAGCCACGGGAAACCGUGGAUAAUAACGAAUACUUCGAGACUUCCGCAUGGAAGACUCGAGAAAGCUCCGGCGGAGAGGGAUGGGCCCGCGGCCUGUUAGCUUGUUGGUGGGGUAACGGCCUACCAAGGCAAUGAUGGGUAGCUGGGUUGAGAGACCGACCAGCCAGAUUGGGACUGAGACACGGCCCAGACUCCUACGGGAGGCAGCAGUGGGGAAUCUUGCACAAUGGGCGAAAGCCUGAUGCAGCGACGCCGCGUGCGGGAUGAAGGCCUUCGGGUUGUAAACCGCUUUCAGCAGGGACGAGGCGAAAGUGACGGUACCUGCAGAAGAAGCCCCGGCUAACUACGUG